RNAcentral lists this ribosomal RNA (497 nucleotides) under uncultured bacterium. RNAcentral's name for it is "partial 16S ribosomal RNA". It matches the Rfam family "Bacterial small subunit ribosomal RNA", at positions 28 to 507 of the family's 1533-position model. The record is from RNAcentral.
GAUGAACGCUGGCGGCGUGCCUAAUACAUGCAAGUCGAGCGAACGGACGAGAAGCUUGCUUCUCUGAUGUUAGCGGCGGACGGGUGAGUAACACGUGGAUAACCUACCUAUAAGACUGGGAUAACUUCGGGAAACCGGAGCUAAUACCGGAUGAUAUUUUGAACCGCAUGGUUCAAAAGCGAAAGACGGUCUUGCUGUCACUUAUAGAUGGAUCCGCGCUGCAUUAGCUAGUUGGUAAGGUAACGGCUUACCAAGGCAACGAUGCAUAGCCGACCUGAGAGGGUGAUCGGCCACACUGGAACUGAGACACGGUCCAGACUCCUACGGGAGGCGGCAGUAGGGAAUCUUCCGCAAUGGGCGAAAGCCUGACGGAGCAACGCCGCGUGAGUGAUGAAGGUCUUCGGAUCGUAAAACUCUGUUAUUAGGGAAGAACAUAUGUGUAAGUAACUGUGCACAUCUUGACGGUACCUAAUCAGAAAGCCACGGCUAACUACGUG